GAUUUUAAUUUGUACUUGUAUACUUAGGCUGGGAGGGGUAUUCCCAGUGACUAUAGCUGAAAGACCCUGUACCUAUUCCAUCUUAAAUUUACAAAGAUAAUUUUUACCUUUGUUCUUUCUUCAAUUAAAAUUUUUUCUUGUUUAAGAA
Gopherus flavomarginatus (Mexican gopher tortoise) is the source of this 148-nucleotide long non-coding RNA. RefSeq lists it as uncharacterized. Lineage: Eukaryota; Metazoa; Chordata; Testudines; Testudinidae. The record is from RefSeq and is a predicted model, not a curated record. The transcript is spliced from 2 exons.